AGUCAUGCAAAUAGGGCCCUCCAUCUGCUGAUGAAAACCAGCCCAACCCUGACUCUGAAGUUCUGGGAGAGGAUCCCUGGCCCCAGGAUCCCAGGUGCUCCCACUUGGGGAUCAGGACUGAACACAGACCACUCACUAUGGGGUUUGGGCUGAGCUGAGUUGUCCUGGUUGCUAUUUUACAAGAAAACUGAUGGAGAACAAGACAUCCUGAGGAUGAGAGUAGAUGUGUCCUGUCCCAGGUGCAGCUGCAGGUUCCGGCCCAGGACUGGUGAAGCCGUCCCAGACACUAUCCCUCGCCUGUGCAUCUCUGGUUCCCCCAUACCAGUGGCCACUGGGGAGUUGGACCCACCAGCCCCCAGGGAAGCGGGAGAGUGGAGAUCUUUGACCUAUAAAGAUUUGUUGGAAUCAGAGAGAAUCCUUUUCUCCUGCAGAAAAGCAGAGUCACUUCCUGACACUUUCUUCUGUCACCAAAUGCCAAGUAAUUUCCAAAUCUAUGGAGGCUUGAAGAGAUUUCCGGGAGCGGUGACUCUCAUCUGCUCGAAGAUGAGCCCACUGUGGACCUUCCUCUUCCUGCUGUCAGCUCCCAGCGGGGUCCUGUCCCAGGUGCAGCUGCGGGAGUCGGGACCCAGCCUGGUGAAGCCCUCACAGACCCUCUCCCUCACCUGCGCUGUCUCUGGAUUCUCACUAACUGGCUACGGUAUACACUGGGUCCGCCAGGCUCCAGGCAAGGCGCUGGAGUGGGUUGGUGGAAUAUGUAGUGGUGGAAGCACAUACUAUAACCCAGCCCUGAAAUCCCGGCUCAGCAUCACCAGAGACACCUCCAAGAGCCAAGUCUCUCUAUCACUGAGCAGCGUGACACCUGAGGACACGGCCGUGUAUUACUGUGGAAGAGACACAGAGAACUGUGUUGUCAAGGGAAAGGUGUAG
This is a non-coding RNA of Odocoileus virginianus texanus, 927 nucleotides long. The record is from the annotation of a RefSeq genome assembly. NCBI's taxonomy places the organism in Eukaryota, Metazoa, Chordata, Mammalia, Artiodactyla, Cervidae.